This 1094-nucleotide long non-coding RNA is filed under the name Cicer arietinum (chickpea). RNAcentral describes it as "long non-coding RNA (CARI_LNC000762)". Lineage: Eukaryota; Viridiplantae; Streptophyta; Magnoliopsida; Fabales; Fabaceae. The record is from RNAcentral.
UUAUAUCAUAUUAAAUAUUUAUUGAAUCUAAUUCAUUUUUACAAAAUUAAUUUAAAACGUGAAUGAUAUCUUUAUUUAUAAAAUAUAUUUAUGUUUUAUCUUUACUCAAUAUAGAUUUUAGAAUUUUUUCAAUAGUGUAUGUUUUUUAUAAUUACCUUUAACCUCAAUUUUCAUGUAAAGUGGUACUUUUUGUUGCAAAAGUUAAUAGAGAUAAAAAUUAAGGGGCUAAAUAAUUGCAGCUGAAGUUAAAAAACUUGUAGCUUAGGCCCAUACCUAUUACACCAAUGUUUCAAAUUCAAAUUACAUUUUUGAAAUAUUAUUUGCUUUAAGUCUUAAAUGUAAACUUUCAUGAUUUUAUUUUUAAUAAGAGACACUAAAUAGAUUAAAAUAUAUAUUUGUUAUUUAUAAACUACUAGUACUACUCUUUAACAAUGUAACCUUUUUGAAUUACUUGAAGAUCAGCCAAAUCACUUCAUCAAUGAUUUAAUUCAAUGAGAUCACUGUGAAGGCAUAAUUAUGUUGGGUUUUGGGCUCCCUUCCUAUGUGGAGAAAGGCCCAAUAUGUGCAAGUCCAUGUGUCUCACUUAUCCAAGUGGAGAGAGGUCAGAUUAGUGGGCGUAAAAGAGCUGAAUUCAGAGAGAGAGGCAAAGAGAAAAGUGAGAGAGGAAGAGCAAACCCUAUUUUCGCAUAAAACAGAGCAGCUGCACUAAAUUCGCGAUUUCUCCUUCGUUCACCGUCGGAUCGGGCUGAAAUUUGGACAGCAGGUUCGUGACUCUUGGUACUUCAUUCUGACCGUUUGGAUCAUCGAUCAGAGGUCUGAGGUGGGAGAAAUUGGAUUCGGACAGCAGCAGUUUUUCUGGUUUUUUUGCUGAACUUUUUUCUCAAUUUCAUGUUUGUUUUCUCAUUGUGUUGGCUGAUCGUUGUGCUAGUUACCUUGCUGCUUUUGGCUGGUUACUGAGCACGAAUUUGUGCCAUAUUAGAAACUCUUUGUACCCAUAUUUUGAUCAUAGUGGAGCUUUAUUACUGGCUUGGUCCCGUGGUUGUUUACUUCUCACAUUGAGAAGGUUUUUCCACGUUAAAAAAUUAUUGUGUCAU